RNAcentral lists this long non-coding RNA (7349 nucleotides) under Zea mays. RNAcentral's name for it is "long non-coding RNA (ZMAY_LNC004166)". The record is from RNAcentral. Lineage: Eukaryota; Viridiplantae; Streptophyta; Magnoliopsida; Poales; Poaceae.
GCGGAGGGCCCAUUAUGGCUCAUUAUGGCCCAAGCCAUACAAAAAAAAAAGUCCGCCGGCCCAACAUCUAAACCCUAAUCACUGCCGCUCCGAGCGACCGCGCCUCCGCCCGCCGUCCGCCGCCCUAACACUGCCGACCUGUCGACUGCCGUCUGCUCAGCCGGCCAGCCACUAUCCGCCGAGCGCCCGACGGCCCGAGCAGGCGAGCAGCUCCGCAUCGCGCGACGUCCCAAGCAGGUGAGCAACCAGGGGCAGUAAAGGCGUUCGCGCGACGUCCAACAGUGCACCUGCGCGCGCGACGUCUCGCUGCUUUCUCCAACUCCUGUUCGGUAUCGCCGUUUCUCGCUUGGAGGUUGUCCUGUAGCGGGGACGACCGCCCAUUCCGGCGCCCGCUCUUCUGCUCCUCCUCGCCUUCCUGUUUCUGCUGCGGGGAGUUCUUCCGCCGCGAGCCGGGACACCGUCGCCGCCGGCCGCCCGCUGUCCGACGCGCAGAGCCUCGUGUCCAAGCGUGGCAAGUUCAAGCUCGGAUUCUUCCGUCCAGGUAACUCUGUCGCCCCUAAUUAACUUCAUUUCGUACGACAGCUGUGUCUGAGAAAUGUGUCGGUAGGUGUGUAGAGCCAUACCUAAAUUUUUUUUCGUCCUCCGCCACUGAUCUCAUUGGACACUACAGCUGCAGUUAGCAACCAAAUUUAGCUAUAAAUUUUGUAAGUAGUUGCUUCCUUAUCCGAAGAAAAAAAAAGAGCAAAACAACAACUUUUUCUUACGUCCUAUCAUGUUCCCAAAUGCUUAUAUUUGACUCAUAACAACUCUUAUACACGUUCACGUACACUUUCUUUGCAUUAAGACAUGUUAACAAACUCAGCACGCGCGCAAAGGCGCGCAAAAUACACUAGUUCAGACUACAAGUAGAAUGUAGAGUCUACUCAGACAGUGGCCAUAAAAAGCUAUUGCAGCGAUGAAGCUGGGAUGUGCAUCAGAGAAUGGAGAGGAUCGGAUCAGAAGAAGUGUUGAGGAACUGAGAAACAGGGAUUGUCCCAAAGUUCUGCACGGCGGAUGUAUUUUUUUAACAGCAUAGGAGGGACGAGCCCUUUCUGGCCUUUAUUAAAAUUGAAAGAGUUCAUGAACUAAUUAAAACACCAUCAAACCAAGAAGUUUAAAAAAUUAGCACGAUUACAGAUAGGUUUGUAACCAUUAUUGACUGGCACAACAGGAAACAGAACCAAAUCCGACAGCGAAAUCAUUUCUGACGGCUAGCCUCGAAGCCAUUGGAAAAAAUUUACAUUCAAUGAUCCGUCGUAGCCAUCGGAUUUUAAUUUACUUCCGACGGCCUGCCAUGUCAGCCAUCCGAAGUAACGUGAUAGCCGUGAGAGAAGGCCGUCCAAUUUAAGCCGUCGGAAAUAAGGCAAAAUAAGAUAUUUCUAAUGGUUAAGGACUUAUUUAUAAUGGCUUUAGCUGCCAGAAAUCUUAGGGUUUACAAUUGUGCACUUAGGGGUAUAUAAGCUUUUUUUGCUUGAAGAAUAACUUGAGUAUUUUUUUAUUUGGUUCGACAUGCUCCGGAGGAGCUGAUGAACCGAACGGGCCCUAAUUAAAGUUUAUAUAAAUUAGAGAAGCAAUCCGGUUAGGAAUCGUUCCGACCCACCAAUCCGGCACAAAUGAACAAGGCCUAAAUGGACUAACACAUUGAUAGAAUAACUUUUACUAAGAAAGGAAGGUGCACCUGAUUCCCGAAGUGAGAUAGGGCAGCAAAAUGAUCAUGCGGUAGAGUGCGAAAAAGACCAAUACUAUCCCAUCAAUAUUUGGCACUAUAGGACAAGUUUAAGUACGUUGCAUUUUGAAGGUUUAGGAACAUAGGUGGCACCAAAAGAUAAGUUUAAGGAUCAAUGAUGUCCACUAUGCCAUCUAUAUUUCUCAUUUUAGUGAGAUUUUUGUUAUUAUAGAAAGCUGCAGAGAGAGGGCUCUUACAAAAUGGAAAUUGUAUCGCGUGUUCUAUUAGAAUGGAAAUGAAACUCUCUCUUCCUUUGCUCGAAUGGCGAUGUGUCCCUCAUUCAAUCUUCACUGACUAAGAUUUUUUUUUGAAACGAGAUUUUACUCUGCUUUUAAGAAAGCAUAUAACAUUGUUCAAACACGGCAACGACUGCUAUGCAAGCAGUCCUUCUGUACAAGCGUGCAAGCAAAUCAUCUGAUCCACUAAAUCGCGAUCCACCCGUAAGUCACAUUUAACACUUAAACCCUUCCACCAUCAGCUCAAUAAUCUUUAUAAAAAAACCCCUAACAAACCAUGAUUGUAUCUGUAGUUGGAACGUAAUCUAAUGAAUUAAAUGGUUUGCUUGCACGCUUGCACAGAAGCACUGCUUGCAUAGCCGUCGUUGCCGUUCAAACACGCACUAGAGAUGCCAGUUUACUGCCAUCAGAAAACCAACCCACCAGACCUCCUAAGAGCAUCUCCAACAACGUGACCUAUAAAAAUGCCCUAUAAUUUGAAAAUAAGUAUAUUUUAUAGAAUUUAGGGCACCAACAAAACAUCUCGCUCCAACAGUAAAGCCCUAAAUCUAGAUUAUAGGGCAGCCCACUACGGUGUAGUAUAUUUGAGUCACUUGAAAGGGUGCCCUAUAGUUUUUUGACAAAAAAUUAUGAAAUACGGCACUGUUGGAGUAGUUUUUCCUGUGUGGAGCCCCAUAUUUCAAUUUAAGGCACUAGUUUAAGGCAUUGUUGGAGAUGCUCUGAAAGAAACAUACAGACUAAGAUUAACCUUCGUCUGAUGCUCUUCACGGAUGUCGCAUCGUCUAUCCAGUUGGCCUCCGUUCCGCGAGCUUGCCCUGUCGACCCCAUCCUUCCUCUCUUCGACCUUGGCCUGGGUUGUCAGUUGUCACCCAUUCACCGUGCUAGACGUCCGCUAGGGCAUGAUGGUGAGAAGCUGCAGAUGCUCAAGCGCGGACAUGGAGCUAGGCAACAUGCGGUGACGGCACGCCAACAACCACCUUCGGGAUAGAUGACAUUUAUUUGUGGUCAUCAUGUGUAUUGGUGUGUUCGCAUCAUGUUCAUUCUCACGAAGGUCCUGUUUGGUGUUAGAGCAUGCUUCUUUUGCUGCGCUGCACAUCAAUGUAGGUCUAACAUUAUCUAACAUAAAUGAUUUAUAAUGUUCUACUCAUAUGCUAUCUUAGUUGAAUGUGAUAAAUAUGCUAGUGUGUAGCGUACACAUUUGCUAAGACAUUGUCAUGGAGCCUAUUGGGUGUUAAAUUUGAAUUAUUUCAAUGCGGGAUGUACUGUUGGCACGAUGAUCACACCCACACCCAUGUGGUUGGAGUGGUUCCAUUCUAGAUUUGGAGAGCGACCUGACUCCAUUCUAGAUCCUGAGAGCGGUGUGAAAUAGUUCUAUUUUUUGUUUGGGCCCACCGCAAAGAGAGCGAGAGAAGUGGUACGGUGGGAUGCCACCGUUUUAUUUGGAACGAGCUCGUCCAAAAUCUGGUGGAAAUAUUCCCGAUAUACAACCGCUCCGCUCUAACUGCUCCAUUCGCUCUCCAAACAAACAUAGAAUGGAGCAGCUCCAUCCCACCUUGCUUCCAAUCAAACGGACCCAGAAGUGUUGAAAACACAUUAAAUGAUUAAUAGAAAGGCCAAAAUGUCCUUUAUCAUCCUCCACCAUUAAUGCAAUUGAAAUAAAUAAUGGACAGAAUAUGGAAUUAAUAUAAUUAAUAUAUUUUUAGUUGUCCGUGGAGAGACUAGGGACUAAAUCAUUUUAGUCCAUGUGUUUGGUCGUGACAAUUUAAGGACUAAAUGAGGCGAAAAUAAAGGAACUAAUCUUUAGUCGACAAGCAUACAGCAGCAUGAACCACAUGUAAUCGUGUUGUACUGCUAGAUAUUAAACAGCCGAGUAAAUAAAAGAGCUCUGUCGUCAUUACUUCUCAUCUCGAGUUCUCUGUCCUGGAGUUUUAACUCGCCUGCGUGGCUCAUGGCUACCAGCAUGGGAACUAGCGAGCUCUCGGGAUGGGUUGGGGAGGACUGGAGAAGGGUAUGGCACUAUGGCUAGGCAUGCCUGUCCCUAUCAGCACAAGUUUGGCGGCACAACUCUCAGUUACCACUUUUACCAGUGUCAAGCUCGGCAAUGCGACAUGGGGACAGAAGCAUACUCCUAUAUAGAGACGCCAGGAUGGCUUACCACGUAUGCUACUGGAUCACGUCUUCUGGGACUCAUGAUGAGUUUAGGGAUCAAAAGUAAGUCCCUUGAAAAUUAGAGAUAGGGGUGAAAAUGGCUUUGCUGUACCCGUCGUCUACCGGAUACGAAUAGUAAAAUUAUCCAUUUUUCAAUAUGAAUUUAGAUACUUUUAUACUCAAAAUAGAUACGAGUUACUGGCUGAAUAAUGCAUCUUCGGAUUUCAGUUGAAUACGAAGCGAGUACUAUCUAGUAAAUGCUUGGAUAUUCAGGUCGAAUACGGUACCUGAGUUUCGGGUACCCAUUUUUCUUUUUCUGCAUAAUAUUGUUAUAAAUUCAUAACUUUCACAGAUAAACUCGGAUGAAGAUAAAGUUUAUAUAAAAAUCGUAGAGCUCAAAGAGAUCUACAACUUUGUAGUACAUCACAUUUUUUUUGAACACAUCUUCACAUCGAAAUCAUUGAAAUAGUGUCUAAAUUUAUAUCGAAGUAACGAACUAUACAUCACAUGAACUACAAGGUAUUGGCGCCUCAAAUAAAAUUUUCUCUCUCCUUCCUUCUACGAUUUUCAUAUAAACUUUAUCUUCGUCCGAGUUCACGUGUAAAAGAUAAGAAUUUAUAAUAAUAUUACGCAGAAAAAAUAAAAACGGGUACCCAAAACCUGACUACUCCUAUCUAAUUAACUCGAAUAUCCGAGUAUUUAUGGGAUAGUACUUGCUUUGUAUUCGACCCGAAUCUAAAGAUACAAUAUUUGAGUAGUAGUCGUAUCCAUCCCGAGUAUAUAUAGAAAUAUACGAACCUGUACCCGAAAAAUUAGUAUUUGUACUAUCCAUACAUGAUGGUACCCGACCGAUACAUCGGAGCUGUUUUCACGUCUAUCUUGAACUUCCAAAGUACUUAAUUUUGGUGCCUAAACUGAUCAUGAGUCCCAAAAGACGUGAUCUAGUAGCAUACGUGGUAAGCCAUCCUGGCAUCUAUUUAUGCUUCGUUCCCCAUGUUGUUAUAUAUAAGUGUGUUUGUGCACGCACGUGCACAUGCUAAAUAAUGGUAACACAUAUAAACUAUCUUGUAUUGUAUUAGACUAUUGCGUGAUUCAAACAUUGUUAUUAUAUUCAAACUAUUGUAUUGAACUACUUAUGUUGUAUUAGACUAUCUUAUGUCAUUUGAAAACGAUCUUUUGUUUUAUUAGACUAUUAUGUGAUUCGAAUCUUGUCAUUAUAUUUUAAAAAUUGUGUUAGACUAUUGUACGGUCUAAAUUUAUUGCUAUAUUGUUACGUUGAUCUAUAUGUUCUAUACAAUCCUCAUGUGUAAUUGUUUUAUUCAUGAACUAAAUUGGAGUAAAUGAUAAGUAAUUUAUGUAUCCAACAAAUAUACGGUAUCCGAUCAAAUAAUAUCCUUAUCUGUCACCUAUCUGCUCGAGUAAAUAUUCAGUCCUAAUAUUCGGAUCCGAUGCUGAAUCCGAUUGAAAUACAAUAGGGGUAUGAUACAGAUGACCUACUAUAUGUCUGUAUCUGCCCAUUUUCAUCCUUAGUUGGAAAAUACAAGAUGACCUACUAUCUGUCCAUAUCUACCUAUUUUCAUUCCUAGUUGGAGAAUCAGGACGAUAUAAUACAACAGGCUAAGUUCGUGGACUAGGUGUGAAUUUUACUCAUAAAAGCGUAGUUAUAUCUGGUGAUGCUCAUGACACAAUAUGUUUGUUAUAUGAACAAAUCAAUUCUAGAUGAGAUGGUCUAUCGUGAAUUUAUCCGUGUAAAAAUGGUGUAUUAAGGCUCUGUUUAAGUGCACUAGAGCUAAUACUUAGGUGCUAAAAUUAGUUAGAGACAUCCAAACAAUCCAACUAAUAGUUUAGCUAUUAGCUACUUUUAGUUGGAAACAUCCAAACAUUUCUAGCUAAUAAUCCAGCUAACUAUUAGCUACACCCUCAACUACCAAUUAGUUAUUAGCUGGUUCAACCAGCUAGAAGUAGCUAAUUAAUACUACAUCCGUUCAUAAAUAUAUGACACCGUUGACUUUUUCGAAAAUUUUGACCACUUAUCUUAUUCAAAAAUGUAAAAUUUUAAGCCAAGAAUAAACUACCUUAAGUGAUAAAACAAAUCAAAAAAUGAUAACUCAUUGUUUUCUUGAAUAAGACGAGUGAUCAAAGUUUUUUUAAAAUGUCAACGGUGUCAUAUAUUUAUGAAUGGAUGGAGUAGUUAGUCAACUAUUUGUUAGUCAGUUAAUUCCACUAGCAACUUUUAGCCAGCUAACUAUUAGCUCUAGUGCAUUCAAACAAUGCCUAAAUCAAUCCUUUAUGCUUAUAAUGAUCAUUAGAUUUUGAAGGAUGAGAAAGUAGUAGAUAAAUGAAUUCUAUCUGUUUCGGUUACCAGUGGCGCAACUAAAGCAGAAGAUUUGGUGUGCUUUCUGUGGAAUUACAACGUCUGUACAGUUCAAUUAUCAAGUGGUGGCGGUGGUAUAGAUCUGUGGUGAUGCUGUGUUGUUCAACGUGAGUUGACGUUUCAAUCCAACAAACCAUUGUGCUAGUGUUUAGGGGGCGUAUUGACCCUUUUCAUGGUCCAUGUUGUUGCUUCGUUUUAUGCUUCAGUCUAAGUUUCUGUUUUUUUUUUCAUGUAAUCUAAAGCCAAUUCAAUGCUUACAACUAACUAGUUCUUUCGGGAUAUUAAUUUGCGCCUGGCCAAGCUCUUUAUGACAUGAUGGAUCUGUCCUCUACUCCUCUGCUAUAAAAGCAACGCUUGGCUAGCACUGCCCUAACGUCCAUUCUUGCUUCCUUCCCUUGCAUUGUUUGGGUAAUCUCUAACCCAAAAUAUUGCAUCAGAUAUUAUUGAAAUGGGAUGCAUGGGGAAAGAAAAUAGCACGUACCAAAUCCUUUCUUGAACCUUCAACAACAAAUCCACUCCUCUGCAUUCAAUCUAUUGCUAAUCUUUUAGUCAUCACACUGGUUGGACAGUGUGUUGGUGUGUGUGCAUCAUGUUCCUUCUCACGAAGGUCCUGUUUAGUGGUAGUGCCUGCAUGUUCCACUGGAUGAUUUUCUUGUUUUAUCGAGCAGGAGGCACUUGAUCUUUGCUUGCAUUUCUCAUCAGGUGCUGGGUGAAUAGAUCCCUGUCGUUCUCUAUGCACUAGUACAAAUAAGCUCAAAGCCUGCGGCACGUUCAACUUUUCACUGGCGGUUUCCGUUAUCAAACGUCAGUGAAAGAAACAGGUGGG